UGCUCCCAGCACAGCGCAUGAGGGAACGGGCUGGGUCAGAUGGAGAGGAGCUCGGCAUGGAGCUCGGCAUGGAGCUCGGCAUGGAGCUCGGCAUGGAGCUCAUGGCUCUGCGACCCCUGACAGCAGGUUGGGGGGGGGCUCGGCCUCUGCUCCAGAUAACAGCGGCGGGGUGAGAGGUGCAGAUCUGUGCUUGGCACACUGUCCACUGUACCUCCAUGAGUACCCACUGAUUUCUUUCCUGAUGGAGAACUGGGAAUAGUUGCGUCACCACCUUGUGCUCUCAAAGAGAUUCAGGACAGCAGCUGCGAGAUGAAUUUCAAGAACCUGAAAAGAAGAAAAGCCCCAACCUCCUCCUCCAAUCAUCACAUCACGUACCGCCCUAUUUGGCUUUGGAGAUAACUGUAUACGGCUUUGUUGCUGAAAAUGAUGCUUCCAUUUUUCAGGACCUGAUUGAAGUCUUCUUCUAAUAAGAAGUGGUUGGUUCCAGUUUUAAAAAGCAAUAAUAAUAAUCCAAUAAAGAUGGGAGCUUUUGUCCUUAAAUAUCACAGAAUCCUUUUUGAAAAAGGUGGGGCUGAGAACCUUCUUGUUUUUCUGGCCAAUCCUGCAGUGAAGCUGUUCUACUCCAACUGUAUGAAGAGCAUGGGGCAACAGGAUGGAAACUGGGAAGAGUGCCUGGAGCUGAGGCUCAGGGAGCCCUGAUUGCCCCUGUGGAGCAUCACAAAGCCCACACCAAAUGCACCAAGUGUUCCUGCCAUCUCACCAUUAGGAAGUUUUCCCUGGAUAUUCAGCCUAAUUUUUCAUUCUUUGAAUUGAUGUCAAUUACCCCACAGCUAAACCUAGUUAUGCAGUGGAAGACAGGUUUAAAAUACUGCAUGAUCUCACUAAAUUGAAGAAAUGGACUGAAAUCGAUACAAUAAGAAUGCCCAUAAAGGUUAAGUGGUUGGUGGAGGAAGGAUUAAUGAAAUGCACACAUACUAGGUCAAGUUGCAAAUACCAUUACUUGGUUCUUACCCACUCCAUACUCCACAAAUACGUUCUCGUCCUUCAAAUUGAAUGAGGAGGUGCCUCAGAAUCUGACUCAUGACUUGGAGAGUUAUGAGACCAGUAUCAAGGAGCGUUUGGGUCUGAUGCAUGGAAAAUGCAAGAAAAAGGUUUUACUGCUUUUUUUACUUAGUUCUGCAGAGAGCUCCAAGGCCCCACCUGCAGUGCUGCAUGGAGCCCUCAGUACAGGAAGGAAAUGGAGCUCUUA
Molecule: long non-coding RNA, 1249 nt
Organism: Coturnix japonica (Japanese quail)
Lineage: Eukaryota; Metazoa; Chordata; Aves; Galliformes; Phasianidae
Source: RefSeq, a predicted model, not a curated record